GACUGACAUGAAGGACUCAAGGGAAGCCUCUGAAAAGAAGAGACCAGACACUAAAAGGGAUGUGUGUGAAAUACUGGUUUUUAUUGGUUGGCACAAGAUUACAACCUACAAUUUCAAUGCCCUUCCCUCCCACACAGCUCAAAUGGAAGGAAACUGAUUAACACAUAGAAAGGAACGGCAGGCUCACAGGUUUAAGCAUUUGUUUUUACAAAAAGGAGUGGGAUAUGGGGGUGGUCAAGUUUUACGGGUAGUAACAACAUUAGAUGGCAGGGGGUAAGUCUGCCUGUCCUCCAUUGCUGGUACCACAUAAGGGAUACAUUAGUAAAGUAGGGAAAGGGUUAUAUGUGUGGCUGGCCUGUUCUUAAGAGAGGAAGGUGGGAUGGUAUCUGCUGUGUACCUGUCUCAGACCAAACCUGGGGCUGGACCAGUGCCCCUUUCUUCUCAGCCCUCCUCCACAGCCUGACUGUACUGCCAGCCGCACCCAUGAGAAGGAGGUGUGAAGGAAGCCUGAGGACAUCCACCUCGAGAAAAGGAAACAGGAAAACUAUUUCCUUCCGCCUUCUCUGGACCAAAUUUCACUCCCCUCAGCUCCAGAGAGUGCUGCAAAAAUCUUCCUUAGGGACGCUGUGAAGACACGGGGAAGAGGCCAGCCCUGAGCGGGCAAGAAGAAAAGCUUGAACUUUCCAUGCAGUACCAAGCAAGGCUAUUUUGGAAACAAGCAAACAAACAAAAAAUGGAAACCAACACCAUAUAACCACAGGUUGGGUAGCUCCUAAAUCCUGGACAGCAUUUGGAUUGGGGGUAAGGGCAAUUUUACUCCAGCUCCUUGUUUUAUAACCCGCACAAGGUGCCAAGAGGUUUAAGGACCACAACUGACCUCUCUCCCUACAAGCACCAUUCCUUGGAUUCCCAGUUUUGUUGAGCUCAUUUGAGGUCAUCCUUGCCAUCCUCUUAAAAAAUGACACAGCCUCUUGGUUAUUCCAUUUUCUAUCCCUUUCUACAAUUAUGAACACACUCUCUAAACAGGAGAUCUAUAUAUGCUCUCAUCCUGCAACCCAAGAGAUUAGGUGACCUAAUGAUGAGAAGGCUAACUUAUUUGCUUUCCUGGGUGGUCCUGAUGGAAAUGAACAGCAGCAGAGUUCUGGUGGGAUAGAGCAGUCUAGUCUGAGCCACUGUGUGAUUCCCCAGGGGACUGGUCCCUGGGUACAUGGGUCCCUGGCUCUCUGUCUCAGUUCCACAGAUAUUACUCAACUUGGCCAUUUACGCCUCAGCUAAAACAUAUGAGCAUGAGGGAAAAGGGACAAGAAAUACUUUUGUCCUCUAGAAAAACUUAACUCAAUACAUCUUGGCUACUUAGUCUCAACGCACGGGGUUCCCUGGAAACAUUUGUUGAACUUGGCCAAGAGGAGAUUGUAUAUGGAUGGCACACCUGGAAAAGGGGAGAAAGCACACUAGUUCAUCUCUUUUAUAAGUAGAAUGGUCCCAGGGAUGUUAACCUUUCUGAUGCUGAUGGUAGAUGAGUGGAGUGGAGGCAAUCGUGAGAAAACUUAAAAACCCUUAAGCUGUUUGGAGACUACACACCACAGUGGAGCAAACCAAGGUGGGGCCUCACUGCCUCCUCAGAGCCCAUCCCUGACCAUGUCAUUGGAUAGGAUGGAAGACAAAGUCUUUGAAAUGGAGGCUGGGCUGGCAAAAGUAAGUAUGAAGAUGCUACUACUGGCCUUCCACUUCCUCUCUCUGAUACACCUAAGAAGGUGAGAGACACUUGCUUCAAUUCCAUUUUACAACAGUUCUCAACAUCCUGAAAUACUCUUGACUUCCUUAAGCACAUGGAAAACUGGUGAUAUCCCAAGUGACACAGAAACACAGCUCCUCCGGAUGGUGAAGUCUCCGCUGCAAAACUCACGAAACAGCACAGAGGAUGACUCUAGGGUGCUCUCCCACUUGCUCCAAGUUAGGCAGGUGCCCUGGUGGAGGCAAGGCUGAGCCAUUAACAUGCACAGCUCCAUAUCCUGGAAGCCUCUGUAGCCUUGAGGAGAUAGGCUCUAUCCAACAGGACUCAGAAUAAAUGACUGCCACCUCAACUGAGCAGUAUGAACUGCCCACCUCAACUGGGCAGUCUGACCUCUUCCAUAGUCUUUAAGAAACAGAAGAGCCAUUUGCAUUAUUUAAUCACCAUUCAAUAAUCUCCUCCCUCCCCAUAGCUGCUUGAGUUAACUGUCCCACAAGUGUCCUGUGGUUUGUAAAGAUGAGGGUUAUUUUCUGAAAUGCAGAUGGGACUAGGAUGAAGCUGUAUUAUCAAUUACAGCCAACUCUCAUUUCUCUUAAAGCAAAAAUUCAUUCCACUGUGAUUUCUCCAGGUAUUUCCUGCAAUUCUAAAUCCACCCUUGAUAUUAGAGAAUAUUAAAAUCACACAGUUGUGGCAAAAAUCACAUUGUGGCUAUUAAAUCCUUUUUGUGAACUAAAAAAAGUGAAUGUGGCUUAGGCUAAGCUGUUUUUGUUUUUUGUUUUUUGUUUUUUUUUUUUUUAAAGAUGAGGAUGCGGACUCCAACAAAGGCAUUAAGAAAGUACUACAUGAAAAUGAGAAAUAUGUGAAGGAUAACAUGUGAAAUGUACACUCAGGUCUAACAAAUACCUAUUAUUUCUCUGGUUAAGAAGGUUUAGCAGGAGCCUCCAAUGAGCACUGUAUGUAGAGAAAAGGGAAGGAGCAGGAGGAGGAACAGAUCUGCACAGAAUUUUUUUCUUAAAAACCACAAAGGGUGACUUUUUUCUUCUAAGCAAGCAAGCCUAAGAGGCAUUACAUGGGCUGGCUCCUAAUAUCAAAACAAAAUAUUUCUUUGCCACAAAGGAACUUGACUAUGUAGCAACAUUUACAAAACUACUGCAAAACACUCCCAGAGGGCAGUGACCUACUCUGCUCCCCAGAGGCUGCAAGAAGCAAGGCCUCAAGUGCCUCACGUUCCAUGGGGCUGUGCAGUGCAAUGCAGAAGGCGGAAAUCCUGCUGUGACGCCACCCUCGAGACCUUCUGCAGCCUGAGAGGGGGUGAUACUCCCACACCCUUUGAUCCUUCCAGAUGGCUCAGCCUAGAUCUAGCAGUGAGAGAGCCCUCUCCAUGCAGGGCAGAUGGAGUGGUGGACACUUGUAAAAACAAAACACUAACUGUUCCAUCCUGUUAUAUUUGCUGUGAGGAAAAUUAAGAUUCCUGUUUUAUGGGCUGCACUGUUUCUGGAAGACUACAGAAAAUCUAACAUGGUUGACACUUCGUGGUAGCCCUUCUGUACAUACACACACACACACCCAGAGAGAAGACAGAGAGAAAAUCCUGGUCCAAAAGAUCACAUGACCUUACUAGUGUUUCCCCAAUGACUGUAAUUUAUAAACUAAAAAUUUUUACAAAUCCACUGCUAUCUUCUUCUGUCCUGAGUUUGGUAGACUUUAAUGGAUGCUCCAGCAAUAACCAGAAUCUAGGACAUGCAGACUCACUGUGAGCGAGAGGCUAGGGAUCUGCCCUAAACAUAGGAACCUGUUUCUAUCAAGCCUGAAUGAGGUCAGCUCUGAUAGAAUUAAUGACAAAUCAAUGUCAGUGAAAUAUUCUGCAAACAGGGUAGCUUUUGUGCUUUCUUUUGAUUAUUUUCUUUGGGGAGAUAAAGGUAUUGCAACCAUGGGUCUAACUAAUCUAUCACUAAAGGACUGUGACGACAUUCUCAAUAAAGACAGUCAUGGUGUUUACUGUGCCAAGGAGGGAAAAUCCCAGAUCAUCAGAAUCCCAGUGCAACAGAAAACAGCACCAGUUUCAACAAUUCUGAUGUUGGACAAAGCCUCUUUUUGUCAGUUAAGAAAGCAUAAGCACAAUCUCUCAGUCAAUUGCAUUAACAGGAAUCCAUUCAUGUCACUGAAAAAUACUUCUUGGCACAGUUCACUUUCCUAACCCAAAGACACCAACAACAAUCAAAACUGCACUUUCAGGGUAGUAUAUUGUUACACUAGCCCAGUCAAAACAUACUCAGAACAUUUAAAAAUGUAUAAAUUACUGUUAGCACUGCAGUUCCGUUUUAUUUUCUUAUUUAUUUAUUGAGACAGAGUCUUACUCUGUUGCCCAGGCUGGAGUGCAGUGGCAUGAUCUUGGCUUACUGCAACCUCUGCCUCCCAGGUUUAAGCAAUUCUCAUGCUUCAGCCUACCAAGUAGCUGGGAUUACAGGAGUGCACCAUCAUGCCCAGCUAAUUUUUGUAUUUUAGUAGAGAUGGGGUUUUGCCAUGUUGGUCAGGCUGGUCUCAAACUCCUGGCCUCAAGUGACCCACCUGCCUUGGCCUCCCAAAGUGCUGGGAUUACAGGUGUGAGCCACUACACCCAACCCUGCAGUCCCUUUUUAAAGAGUACUGACUGUUUUCCUGCAAAGUACUUUCAAAUCCAUACCAUAAAGGUAGAAUUUAUCUAGAAGAAUGUGUUUUUUGAAUUCCACCUGGCACUUGGUUAAAUCUACUUUAUUUUGCCCUUUAUUUAUUUGAACAGAACUUUAGAAUGCUCUAGGUCAGGAUAAGAAACAGUGUGUUCGUUUUUAAGAAGGAUGUGUGAAUAGUAAGUUGGCAUUCAGACUCAAGUCCCAUGGUAUUGUUCUUAUCCAAUGGGACCUCUCCUUGGGAAUAUAAUUUCUUUCCCAGAGGUAUCGUGGUAUCCCAAGAAUACAACUGCUCUUUGGCUCUGUGUGUGAAGACUGGGAGAGAGGAUGUAAACUAAGAGUAUAUAGCAAAAAAAAAAAAAAUUUUUUUUUUUUUUGAGAUGGAGUUUCACUCUUAUCAUCCAGGCUGGACGACAGUGGUGCAAUCUCGGCUCACUGCAACCUCUGCCUCCCAGGUUCAAGCGAUUAUCUCGCCUCAGCCUCCCAAGUAGCUGGGAUUACAGGCGCCCACCUAAUUUCUGCAUUUUUAGUAGAGACGGGGUUUCACCAUGUUGGCCAGGCUGGUCUCAAACUCCUGACCUCAGGUGAUCCACCUGCCUCGGCCUCCCAAAGUGCUGGGAUUACAGGUGUGAGCCACCGUGCCCAGUGAGUAGACAGCAAAAUUUAAAGUUCACCAACUGAUGUUCCCAAAAGUGCUGAACACUAAAUGACACAGGGCUAUGAGGUACAUACAUUUCUUUUAGUAGGAGGGAAAAGUAAAAGCUUUUCAAAGUUUGAGUGCUUUAUUAGAAUUUUUAAAUGAGGCGAACUAUGAUUUUAAUUUCACAUCUUGGCUAAGGAGAUGCCACUGGAGUACAGAGAUAAUCUCCUGUCUUAAGCCACGGAUCAGUCAGUGUAGCCCUCCCUACCCCUCAAUCUCGAGACCCUCUUACUUCCGAACUAAACAACACAAUUGGCAAAUGAAGCCAGCACGAAACCUGUAUCAAAAAACAAGAGAGUCUGCAGUGAGCCAGUGUAUUAUGUAACCACUGUAAUAAGUGAUUACGUGGCCUCCCAUAUGGACCUUUCAUAUCCUGGUGGGAGAUGGGAGACCAAUUUAAUAGCUCUGAGCAUGCUCCAUGGUGCAAUCACAAGUGCCAUGCCAAUACAAAGACAAGCAAGCAGGUGAAUUUCCCUAGUGUACUUUUCAGGAACACGGUUACUCAGUUCGGGGACAGGAAUACACUGAUGCACCUGCAAAGUAAAGUUGGAUGCUUCAGAGCACAUGGACGAUACCCAGGUCAGCACGGUGUAAGGCAUAUAUGGACACAAAGAGAGGCCAUUGUUGGCAAUAAAUAGCAUUACGGAAAAGAUUCCAAACCAGCAGGACAGAAAUGGACCUGAUGCUCCAGUUUUUUAGAUAAGUAAUCCCAAGAAUCCAGUUCAAACUCUACUGUCAACAUGUGGGGCAGAAUUCAAUUUCUAUCAUUGUUUUUACAGAUCUGGGCUGAGGCCAUUUGCUCCUUGCUUGGUUAAAAAAAAUAAAAAAAUUAAAAAAGGUUUCUUCCUGUUUCUUUCUGGGCAGGGAAAUACAGCUUAAAGAAGGAAAGGCCAUGAGUCCUGGGAGCACUAUGAAGGUAGCUAAACUCUUCCCAUAUCUACAGUCAAUGACUGGGAAAUAGAGAAAGGACAGGGCAACCCGCCCAGCCACUAGCAUCAAAAACAAAAAGGUAUGUUAAUUGUGAGGCUCUCAAUUCUAGAAAUGCCCAAAUUAAAAGAGAAAAAAACCUUGAAAAAUUAAACAAAUUUCUCUUUCUAGAAGUCAUUUAUUUACAUAUUAUAUGUCCGAUAUAUAAUGUGUAGAUAAAUGUAUCCUGCAGUGAAAGUGACCACUCUACUGAACUGUACAGCACAUUAUAGGACAAAUUAUUGGAAGUUUUCAUCUCAUACUGGUAUCUUUUAAUAAAAAAAAAAAAAUUAAAAAUCAAAGAAAACGUCUGGCCAGGGCCAGGAUAAGACAAACAGGAACACUUCAGAAUCCAAGGCAGGGGAAGGCUGUUGGCCUCUCUUCAGAGGACUGCAGGGGUGGGAAGAGGGAGGGACAGAUCAUGCACAAAAGUACUUACAAAUUACACACCCAACCCCCACUCUCAAUAAAAACAGAAGAAAAAGCCCCAUCACUUAACACCAAACAGCAACAUUAUCAAUACACCCUUUCUUUGCUGCCCACCAUGCCUUAUUUGAAAGAGGAGGCCUGUGAGAAGUGGAAAGAGCCAGGGUGAGAGGGAAGAUUUGCACUUCAGUCUAGUUUCCAAUUUCCAUUUCUCUUACAGGAAGUCUUCAGUCAUCUGAUGCCUGACAUCGAGCUCUGAGCAGAAACCGAGUAUGUGGUGGCCACGACUGGGGUGCCAUUGUUGGCUGAGUAGCCUUGCCUCAAUGUUUCAAAAUAUGAUGCCUGCACGGGUUUGUGAUACUGCAGCACUUUUAUGGCGUCUUCUAUUUUAAACCAUUCCCUCUUCCUUCCUGUG
This 6905-nucleotide long non-coding RNA is filed under the name Pan troglodytes (chimpanzee). Its description in RNAcentral is "long non-coding RNA NONPTRT014606". The record is from RNAcentral. Lineage: Eukaryota; Metazoa; Chordata; Mammalia; Primates; Hominidae.